This 441-nucleotide ribosomal RNA is filed under the name uncultured bacterium. Its description in RNAcentral is "partial 16S ribosomal RNA". It matches the Rfam family "Bacterial small subunit ribosomal RNA", at positions 339 to 795 of the family's 1533-position model. The record is from RNAcentral.
CUACGGGGGGGCACCAGUGGGGAAUAUUGGACAAUGGGCGAAAGCCUGAUCCAGCAAUGUCGCGUGGAUGAUGAAGGCGCUAUGCGUUGUAAGGUCCUUUUGUCGGGGAAGAUAAUGACGGUACCCGAAGAAUAAGCACCGACUAACUAUGUGCCAGCAGUCGCGGUAAUACAUAGGGUGCUAGCGUUGCUCGGAAUUACUGGGCGUAAAGAACAUGUAGGAGGACUCGAAAGUCAAGAGUGUAAUCCCUGGGCUCAACUCAGGAACUGCUUUUGAUACUUCGAGUCUAGAGUGAGAUAGGGGAUAGUGGAAUUCUUAGUGUAGGGGUGAAAUCCGUAGAUAUUAAGAGGAAUACCGAAAGCGAAGGCAGCUGUCUGGGUCUCUACUGACUCUGAGAUGUGAAAGCGUGGGGAGCAAACAGGAUUAGAUACCCUCGUAGUC